UUGGGACCAAUGGAGGGGUCACGGUGGUGGGCCUUGUCUCCAGUCUACUUGGCAGUACCUUUGUGGGCAUCACCUACUUCCUCACACAGUUGGUCUUUGUUAAUGAUUUAGGCAUUUCUGCUCCCCAGUGGCCAAUUAUUGCAUUUGGGGGUUGGCUGGAUUACUAGGAUCAGUUGUGGACUCAUAUUUAGGAGANAGCUACAAUGCAAUUUACUGGUUUAGACGAAAGCACAGGCAUGGUGGUCAACAGCCCAGCGAAUGAGGUGAAGUACAUAGCGGGGAAACCCAUUCUUGAUAACAACUGAAGAAAACAGGUUCACUGCAUUGUUAUUGCCCUCUUACUCCCAACUGCUGCUUGGGGUUUCUGGCCCAUGGAGUGAACUUUUUUUUUCCUUUACAAAGGUUGAAAACUGUGGCAAAGUCAGCUAAAUUUGCAAUUCCAAGUUUCAUCCUAAGAAGAAUAAUUGUAAUGGCAAAGAGAAAAUACCAGCGCUUCCCAUAUUCCAUUGUGAUGAAAUUCCACAUUUUUCAUCUCAUUAACUCCCCUGUAACAGCUGACCUCUUUGUAGUGAAAGAGAUGUGUGNAUAGACCUUAUUCAUAUUUUUCUUCUGAAUAGAGCUUCUUAAGCAAUGAAACUAUAAUGUCCCUAUAUAUUGCUGAGCUGAAAGUUCCUACGUGGUAAAUACAAAUUUUGUUUUGUUUAAACCAGUGUAGGGACUAAAAAUAUAAUGCCACUAGU
Molecule: long non-coding RNA, 740 nt
Filed under: Vulpes vulpes (red fox)
Lineage: Eukaryota; Metazoa; Chordata; Mammalia; Carnivora; Canidae
Description: lncRNA (ENSVVUG00000003158.1)
Source: RNAcentral